UACGUAGGGGGCAAGCGUUGUCCGGAUUUAUUGGGCGUAAAGAGCGUGUAGGCGGCCGUACAGGUCAGCUGUGAAAACUCGAGGCUCAACCUCGAGACGUCGGUUGAAACCGUACGGCUAGAGUCCGGAAGAGGAGAGUGGAAUUCCCAGUGUAGAGGUGAAAUUCGUAGAUAUUGGGAAGAACACCGGUGGCGAAGGCGGCGACCUGGUCCUUGACUGACGCUGAGGCGCGAAAGCGUGGGGAGCAAACAGG
RNAcentral lists this ribosomal RNA (253 nucleotides) under uncultured bacterium. Its description in RNAcentral is "partial 16S ribosomal RNA". It matches the Rfam family "Bacterial small subunit ribosomal RNA", at positions 524 to 776 of the family's 1533-position model. The record is from RNAcentral.